GACGAACGCUGGCGGCGUGCCUAAUACAUGCAAGUUGAGCGCUGAAGGUUGGUACUUGUACCAACUGGAUGAGCAGCGAACGGGUGAGUAACGCGUGGGGAAUCUGCCUUUGAGCGGGGGACAACAUUUGGAAACGAAUGCUAAUACCGCAUAAAAACUUUAAACACAAGUUUUAAGUUUGAAAGAUGCAAUUGCAUCACUCAAAGAUGAUCCCGCGUUGUAUUAGCUAGUUGGUGAGGUAAAGGCUCACCAAGGCGAUGAUACAUAGCCGACCUGAGAGGGUGAUCGGCCACAUUGGGACUGAGACACGGCCCAAACUCCUACGGGAGGCAGCAGUAGGGAAUCUUCGGCAAUGGACGAAAGUCUGACCGAGCAACGCCGCGUGAGGGAAGAAGGUUUUCGGAUCGUAAAACUCUGUUGGUAGGGAAGAACGUUGGUGAGAGUGGAAAGCUCAUCAAGUGACGGUAACUACCCAGAAAGGGACGGCUAACUACGUG
This 497-nucleotide ribosomal RNA is filed under the name uncultured bacterium. RNAcentral's name for it is "partial 16S ribosomal RNA". It matches the Rfam family "Bacterial small subunit ribosomal RNA", at positions 28 to 507 of the family's 1533-position model. The record is from RNAcentral.